RNAcentral lists this long non-coding RNA (525 nucleotides) under Homo sapiens (human). Its description in RNAcentral is "HSALNT0095956". The record is from RNAcentral. Lineage: Eukaryota; Metazoa; Chordata; Mammalia; Primates; Hominidae.
UCAGGAUUCUGAGAUGUGCAAAGACUACCGAGUAUUGCCCAGGAUAGGUUAUCUUUGUCCAAAGGAUUUAAAGCCUGUCUGUGGUGACGAUGGCCAAACCUACAACAAUCCUUGCAUGCUCUGUCAUGAAAACCUGAUACGCCAAACAAAUACACACAUCCGCAGUACAGGGAAGUGUGAGGAGAGCAGCACCCCAGGAACCACCGCAGCCAGCAUGCCCCCGUCUGACGAAUGACAGGAAGAUUGUUGAAAGCCAUGAGGGAAAAAAUAAACCCCAGUUCUGAAUCACCUACCUUCACCAUCUGUAUAUACAAAGAAUUCUUCGGAGCUUGUCUUAUUUGCUAUAGAAAACAAUACAGAGCUUUUGGGAAUGGACUCACUGAUUUUCAGUCUUUUCCAUCUCUUUCCUCCUAGACUCUGUGAUCUGAGGGUAUAAAGACAUCUCCACCAAGUCUGAGCCCUCAAAAUGUCCUGAUUACAAUGCUGUCUGUCCAACUGCCUGUUCAAUAAAAGUAAACUCAGCAG